Molecule: transfer RNA, 74 nt
Filed under: Chloroflexota bacterium
Lineage: Bacteria; Bacillati; Chloroflexota
Description: tRNA-Gln
Rfam family: tRNA
About the family: Transfer RNA (tRNA) molecules are approximately 80 nucleotides in length. Their secondary structure includes four short double-helical elements and three loops (D, anti-codon, and T loops). Further hydrogen bonds mediate the characteristic L-shaped molecular structure. tRNAs have two regions of fundamental functional importance: the anti-codon, which is responsible for specific mRNA codon recognition, and the 3' end, to which the tRNAs corresponding amino acid is attached (by aminoacyl-tRNA synthetases). tRNAs cope with the degeneracy of the genetic code in two manners: having more than one tRNA (with a specific anti-codon) for a particular amino acid; and 'wobble' base-pairing, i.e. permitting non-standard base-pairing at the 3rd anti-codon position.
Source: RNAcentral
UGGGGAUUAGUAUAGUGGUAGUACAGCGGACUCUGACUCCGUAGGCCAAGGUUCGAAUCCUUGAUCCCCAGCAA